AUGGAGGAAAACCUGCAAGUCGCAAUUAAGCAUGUGAAGAGCGAAGCUGCGGAUGAGAGCUCAUCUGCGCUGGUUCUGGGCAGUCAGGACUCGCCUGCGCCCUGUGGAGAUACCGCAUGCAGAGGAGGAGGAGGAGGAGGAGGGGAUCAGACUGCAGAGGAGCUGCAAACAGUCACAACAAGCACUCCUGUGCUGCUGUACCCCGUGAGCACCGAACGCUACUUUACAACAUCUGGAGACGAGAAGACUUACCUGAAGAUAGCUCCAGCUUCAGCGGUGACCUCAGCUCACGCAGAGAUGGUGCUUCCCUCUGGCCCAGACUUCUCCUCCAAGGUUGUUCUGUGUCUCAUCGAGGCUGUCGGGCGCCGCUGGGGUCUGUACAAGACACGGGAGCGCUCGCAGCUCUUCCAGAGCGUCCAGGAAGAGCUGGCCUCCAAAGGGUACAUGCUUCCUGUGGAGAAGAUCCGUCGCAAGUGGAACAACCUCAUUGUCACGUACAAGAGAGUUAAAGAUCGCAGCCGUGAGACAGGCCAUACCAAAACGUCCUGGGAGUUCUUUGAUUUGAUGGACGCCACUCUCAGUGACACGGUCGGCUCCCAGAACCUCAAUGUCAAAAAAAACAAAAGUGGAACUUCUGUUUCUUCUCUGUCUGGUCCUUUGGUCAAGAAACCACCGACUCCGCAGUCCCCCUCCUUCGUCCGUCAUAAUGGGGACUUCACGUCAGUGGGGGUCUUGCAGACAGGCGGUCAGGGGACCUGCGGCGGUCUUGCAGUCAGCACCACUGCUGCUGUUGCCUCUGUGAACUCCACAAAGCCUUCAGAAAUAAAGCCCCUGGUGGUCCUCAGCGGUGACGUCACAACCACGAUUCAUCCUGCCACCAUUGUGCAAUCGCCGUCCUUAAUCUCCGAGCCCUCUUUUACAGACUCGGUUUCCACUUUGCUCAGUUUGUCCAGCAACCCUGACCUCAACACGUCACGCUACGUUGGGCGCAAAAUCCCAUCCUUCUCCUCCGGAGUCAUCCCUUUUCACCUCAGCAACACGCUGAAUUCUUCGAGCAUCUCGUCAUCUUUUCCAACAACUUGCUCGAGUCUCUCUACUACCUUCUCCACCUCACCGUCAACCACCGUUGCCUCUGGAGAGAUCCAGAAACAAAACGAAUGGCAAUCCAACGCCAUGUUGUUACAGGAGAUUAUCCAGCGACAUGAGGAGGAGGCCUACAUUGAUCGGGUGGCUCGCCGUCGGACAGAAGCCAGAGAGAAGAGGCGCGAAAGGAGGGAAGUGCGAAUGGCAGAGUCCCUCGGCAGGAUAGCCACGGCCCUGGAGCUGCUCUCGUCCAAACAGGACACAAUCAUCGCCCUGCUGCAGAGACUGGCCGAUCGCAAGUGAUAGGCAGACGUAGAUGUCAAAGGGGGGACAAUUCUCUGUUCAACGUGAAAUCAUUCUUCAAGAUGAACAUAUAUACAAUUCAAUUCUAGAUCUGGCAUUUGGUUUACUGCUACUUUUCAUAGAGUUGCAAUAAAAUGGUCCUGACACCUUUACUUUAUGCUUUUAAAUGACUAAGACAAAUGUUCAGUGAGCAAGAGCUCAAUCAUCAACACGCUCCCUUUACAGGAUUGACAACAAAAGACCAUUAAAUGUGAUUUAUUUGAAAGGGUUGGUCUGUGCAUUUUGAUAAAGCCAUUUUUUCUAUAAUCUUCAUUCGAACCUCAAUCGCUCAAUCUUUAUUUAUACAGCGUCUCAUACAAUCAAAAUUGUUUCUAGGCGCUUUCCAGAAUCCCAGGGCCUGACCCCCAACAAGCAACAGUGGCAAGGAAAAACUCCCCUUUAACAGGAGGAAACCUUGAGCAGGACCAGGCUCAUGUAGGGGAACCUUCCUGCUGAUGGGGGACUGGGUAGAGAGAGAGGAGAAGAGGGGACGACAGGUAGAGGAUAGAAUAGGUAGAGAUCAUAGAGAUACAUUGUAUUAAUUAAAACAAGCUGCCGGUAGAGUUUAGUUUUCAUCGAAUGCUCAAUGCUUAUUUUGAAAAUGUCUUUCAAUGUUCCAUUUUCUGUUGUUCGAUAGUCUCUUGCCACAUAUCAAGCACACAGGUGAACCAGCGUGUUGGAGGUGAAGGCAAAUGAGGAUGUUUAUCCUGAAUUAAGAUCUCUAGUUCCUCCCGAGACUUU
RNAcentral lists this long non-coding RNA (2166 nucleotides) under Takifugu rubripes (torafugu). RNAcentral describes it as "lncRNA (ENSTRUG00000026343.1)". The record is from RNAcentral. Lineage: Eukaryota; Metazoa; Chordata; Actinopteri; Tetraodontiformes; Tetraodontidae.